UGGGGAAUUUUGGACAAUGGGCGCAAGCCUGAUCCAGCCAUUCCGCGUGCAGGACGAAGGCCUUCGGGUUGUAAACUGCUUUUGUACGGAACGAAAAGCCCUUCUCUAAUACAGAGGGGUCAUGACGGUACCGUAAGAAUAAGCACCGGCUAACUACGUGCCAGCAGCCGCGGUAAUACGUAGGGUGCAAGCGUUAAUCGGAAUUACUGGGCGUAAAGCGUGCGCAGGCGGUGAUGUAAGACAGGUGUGAAAUCCCCGGGCUUAACCUGGGAAUUGCAUUUGUGACUGCAUAGCUAGAGUACGGUAGAGGGGGAUGGAAUUCCGCGUGUAGCAGUGAAAUGCGUAGAUAUGCGGAGGAACACCGAUGGCGAAGGCAAUCCCCUGGACCUGUACUGACGCUCAUGCACGAAAGCGUGGGGAGCAAACA
This 427-nucleotide ribosomal RNA is filed under the name uncultured bacterium. RNAcentral's name for it is "bacterial SSU rRNA". It matches the Rfam family "Bacterial small subunit ribosomal RNA", at positions 355 to 774 of the family's 1533-position model. The record is from RNAcentral.